Dreissena polymorpha is the source of this 2019-nucleotide RNA transcript. RefSeq lists it as uncharacterized. The record is from RefSeq and is a predicted model, not a curated record. NCBI's taxonomy places the organism in Eukaryota, Metazoa, Mollusca, Bivalvia, Myida, Dreissenidae. The transcript has 7 exons.
AUUUUUUUAAAUUGUAUUAUUCAUAACAGUAACACAAUUGUAUUGGUUUUGUGUUGUACAUAUUUGAUAUCUGAUACGCAAACAUAUUCUUGAAGUGAAAUAUUUUGCCAACAAUAGUUCUUCCCCAUAGUAAAUACUGGAAACCAUACAUUAUCCUACCGCACCCCAAAUUCGACGAUGUUCUAUUUAUAUUGAUUAAAUGGAUGAUUAUUGUCUUUGAAUCAUUUCAAAGUAAUACAGCCGAGUUUAAAAUUAUUAUUUUCUGCUAUUAAACAUUUCAUUAUUUCUUUCAUUAUUUGCUAAAUAUUGCUUCAUGUAACCGUUACAUCGUCGAAUUUCGGUCCAUUACAUUCGAUUCUUUACACCCUUCGAAUUUGGGUCACACUGGGAUAUUGCAUACAUGCAUCUAGUCCAAAUUUUUGACGCUCUUAAAUAUUAAGCUACUUUUUAUAUGGGUAAAGUAUCUCGCGCGUCUUAUAAAUAAGACUAACAUGCAUCAUGCAGAGAUCUCCCUCUGGUUUAGUUCAAACCUGUAUAUUUUAGUUUGAUUGCAUAGGACUUAUUUGAAAAAGCUGUAAAUUUUGUUUCCGGUGCCUAGAACCAGUACUUAGUGUCUAUAGGGAAGAUCUAAAGAACGCUUUCACAGUGGGGAUCGAACCCGUGACCUCCUGGUUGCUAGGCGGACACCAUAUCCUUUACGCCACAGCUACCUCAGGGUUUGGGGUAACGACACCAAACGCAAAGCCUAUCCCAAGGCAAUGCCCCAUUUGCGUGGUAAAAGGCAACACGACUGUGUACCUCCGGGUAACAGACCACGUUCGCUGGGUGCAAGCGCUGACGGCAGACCCCAUGAAGCCGUUGAUGUCAGAGGCACGUGCUAAGACCGGUCGGAAAGUGAAGAAGACAAAGCCGAGGAAUUACUACUCUUGCUGGCUGUGCGACCGGUCGGUGAUUGACCGGCUGCGUCAUCUAGAACAGGAGCACAAAAUGGAGGCUGGGACAUUCAAUUUUGUUUCCACAAGAGGGCCGUUUCCGGAAAGACGCGAAAACUUCAGGAAAGGUGACCAGCAGACUCGCCACUCAUGAUGACUCGGCAUAGGAGGAUGAGAAGGUGGAGGAUGAGGAGGAGGAGGAAGAGGACUUUUCAUUCCUAAUGCCGAAAUACUGCCUGAGCCUGGAACCCAAUGCAAGGGUGAUGCAUGGUCGGAGAAGCUGCAAUUUCAAUCGUUGACUCAUAUGUAGACUACAUGUUCCUGCGGAGCAGGCCAGGUGGGUUGGCAAACGAGUCGAAAACACAAGAGGUCAACAUGAAGAUCAACCGGUUCCUGGCCCUGUCUGGCUACUUGGAAGGAGUGGUGUUGAGUGACAUGCUGUUGUGGAUGGGCCAUAUGGAGGUCCACGACAGUUCCUCAACACCACUCACCAGCUGAAGACGGUGCGGAAUGCACUAACGGCAAUCAAGAACUUCCUGAAGUGGUGCGAGGGAAUGGUCUAGCGGACGCCCGCACAUUGAACAAUGCUUCCUGACCUCAACCUGCCUGGAUAAGAGCCGUCGCGAGGUUGUUCGGAGGGUAGAGGAGAGUGCGGCCAUCCUGACGGACGCAAACCUGGAGCGCCACUUCACUGAGAGUGAGCAUGUAGUGAAAACGAUCAAGGUGAUCCAGGAGCCCCCAGCUGGCACACCUGAAAGAUAUUCGGGGAAUAAUCAUUUAACUGAUAGCGCUCUAUAACGCCUCCUGAACUGGCAAGUGUACCUAGAGAUUGAGCUGGAGACAGUGAAGGUGCUGACCUCUGUGUGGAACACUUAGAAGCUGGCAAGUUUUCAUAUUGAAGGGUAUGGUUCCCAACCGCCCAUCACACACAGAAUGAAGCUUGUCGUCUUCCGCAGUAAAAACUGGGUGCUGGAAGAUGCUUACUGCUAUAUUGACUGCUUCCGAGCGCUUCCUGGACCUAAAAAUUAUCUCCCAGCAGCAACCUCCCCAAGGUGUGACGAGAGUCUUCAAGGUAAUUGAAAGAGGG